UACGUAGGUGGCAAGCGUUGUCCGGAGUUAUUGGGCGUAAAGCGCGCGCAGGCGGUGCGGUAAGUCUCUGGUGAAAGCGCUCGGCUUAACUGGGCGAGGGCCGGGGAGACUGCCACGCUGGAGGGGAGCAGAGGCGAGUGGAAUUCCGGGUGUAGUGGUGAAAUGCGUAGAGAUCCGGAGGAACACCAGUGGCGAAGGCGGCUCGCUGGGCUCUACCUGACGCUGAGGCGCGAAAGCGUGGGGGGCGAACCGG
Molecule: ribosomal RNA, 253 nt
Filed under: uncultured bacterium
Lineage: Bacteria
Description: partial 16S ribosomal RNA
Rfam family: Bacterial small subunit ribosomal RNA
Source: RNAcentral